This 743-nucleotide ribosomal RNA is filed under the name bacterium enrichment culture clone 5(2013). RNAcentral's name for it is "bacterial SSU rRNA". It matches the Rfam family "Bacterial small subunit ribosomal RNA", at positions 8 to 746 of the family's 1533-position model. The record is from RNAcentral.
AGAGUUUGAUCCUGGCUCAGAUUGAACGCUGGCGGCAGGCCUAACACAUGCAAGUCGAGCGGAUGAGUGGAGCUUGCUCCAUGAUUCAGCGGCGGACGGGUGAGUAAUGCCUAGGAAUCUGCCUGGUAGUGGGGGACAACGUUUCGAAAGGAACGCUAAUACCGCAUACGUCCUACGGGAGAAAGCAGGGGACCUUCGGGCCUUGCGCUAUCAGAUGAGCCUAGGUCGGAUUAGCUAGUUGGUGAGGUAAAGGCUCACCAAGGCGACGAUCCGUAACUGGUCUGAGAGGAUGACCAGUCACACUGGAACUGAGACACGGUCCAGACUCCUACGGGAGGCAGCAGUGGGGAAUAUUGGACAAUGGGCGAAAGCCUGAUCCAGCCAUGCCGCGUGUGUGAAGAAGGUCUUCGGAUUGUAAAGCACUUUAAGUUGGGAGGAAGGGCAGUAAGUUAAUACCUUGCUGUUUUGACGUUACCGGCAGAAUAAGCACCGGCUAACUUCGUGCCAGCAGCCGCGGUAAUACGAAGGGUGCAAGCGUUAAUCGGAAUUACUGGGCGUAAAGCGCGCGUAGGUGGUUCGUUAAGUUGGAUGUGAAAGCCCCGGGCUCAACCUGGGAACUGCAUCCAAAACUGGCGAGCUAGAGUAUGGCAGAGGGUGGUGGAAUUUCCUGUGUAGCGGUGAAAUGCGUAGAUAUAGGAAGGAACACCAGUGGCGAAGGCGACCACCUGGGCUAAUACUGACAC